Molecule: non-coding RNA, 1907 nt
Organism: Peromyscus maniculatus bairdii (prairie deer mouse)
Lineage: Eukaryota; Metazoa; Chordata; Mammalia; Rodentia; Cricetidae
Source: RefSeq, a predicted model, not a curated record
AGCACCCACCCUUUUCCUCUACCCCACAGCAGAAUCACAUGGCAGAGGUGAUAACCACAUUUCUUACUGACUGGUUUUAGAGGUGAGAAAAUUGGCUGGGGAGCUGCUGCUCCUGCGUGUGCUGUGGAGGAGGAUCUUGGAGAAUUGUCACACUAGGGCCAGAGAAGAGAGGAAAGUAGAGACUUCACGCAUGAGAAUAUGUUGCCCUUCUUAGGGCAGAGGCUAAGGGAAGUUCCCCCCACCCCAGCCAUGCUUAGAGGCAGGCAGCGGAGAUGGUACCUGUUCCUGGGAUCAUCCUGGGUGACAAAAAGCGAGUGAUCGGAGGAUCCAAUGGAGGAGAGUCACCGGAGGGUCCUGCACUGUACCUGGCACCCCACACUGUGGUGCAGAACAAAGAAUACCUUCCAAAAAGUUCAGGGAAUAGGAGGCAGGAAUCCAGCCACUGAUGCCCGGGGAGGACCAGUACUUGCUAGCACUCCUUGGGACUGUAGACUAGGAGACGGUAAAAAUGGGCUUGCACAGCCCCAUCCCGGCCCGUCCUCUGGUAACAUUCACUCUAUCUCCACAGUCUCUGAGAGCUCCCUCCUACCCGUCCUGGACACUGGUCUCACCUCCCCCAUCCAUGGAUAACACAGGAGGAAAAUAUGAGUGAGCUGCCCUAGGCAAGGCAAGGACCAGUAUGUGAGGACCCUGGAUCCUUCAGGAGGAUACUGUGCUGGUGGGGAAUUCUGAUGGCUGUAUCCUCGGGGCCCUAACUCUGCGAGAACAGCUUCCGGGGGGGACCUGGGACCACAGGAUGGCCACAGCUCCCGCAGAAUCAGCCUCUCAGUCUCGGCUUCUCUUCCCUCGAAAGUUUUAAAGCUCCAGCUACCACCUCUUUCCAAAGAGAGAACUUACUAAGGGGGAAGCCUCAGACCAGGCGUGGGAAUAACACCAUCGAAUCCCUUUACAACUACACUACAGCUGAGUGAGUGGCCUUGGCGACCUAGUCAACUUUUCCUCUCUGUGCCCUAGUUUCUUUCCCACAAGGAUGGGGAAACCUGAAUAGCAGUCUUGGCUUCUCCGUGUGCUCAUGGAGACCCUGUGAAAUGAAGCGGUAAGCUUGGAACACUGCCUGCCUUGCUGUUCACAGCAGUCCUUGCUGGACGGUGAGAAGAAUGAGCAAAGAGCUGUGUCCAACGAGAAAAGACAGAGAGAGACGACGCUGCUGACCUUGGAGAUGGGGAAAGGGACCCAAUCAAACGUGAGUGACUUCUGGAAUCUGCUGAAGGUCAGGAAAAGGAUGCUUUCCUAGGACCUGGAGAAAGAAAGAGAGCCCUUUAUUUUGUUUAGUUCAGGGAGAUGCAUCGGGCUGUUGAUCUGAGAUCUGUAUGGUAAUGAGUUUGUAUUGUUGUAAAUCUCAGAUGUUUUCAACCUGUAGGUCAUGAACCUUUGGGGUUAUACAUUAGAUAUUUACAUUAUGAUUCAUAAGAGUAUCAAAAUUAUAGUUAUGAAGUAGCAAUGAAAUAAUUUUAUGGUUGGGGGUUACCACAACAUGAGAAACUGUAUUAUAGCAUUAGGUCAUAGCAUUAGGAAUAUUGAGAACCAUUGCUCUAAGAUCAUGUAACUUGUUAUAGCAGCAACAGGAAACUAAUUCAUCCACUAACUUAAAAAAAAAAAAAAAACUACCCCUGUCACUGAGCCAUCUCCAAGGACUCAUCUUCCUUCUCAGUCCCCCUAGCUUCUGGAUAUACUGGCCCUCUCCACCAGCAGCCACCUUCCACAAGCAAUAUGCCUACUGGCUAGAACCUCUACUGUGAUGGUAUUGUGUUCUCCAAAAUAUUGUGUACCCUAAUAAACUUAUCUGGGAUCAGAAAACAGGACAGCCACAAUAUUAAAGAUAGAAGAUAGGCAGUGGUAGCACACGC